This 73-nucleotide transfer RNA is filed under the name Thermoplasmata archaeon. Its description in RNAcentral is "tRNA-Pro". It matches the Rfam family "tRNA". Rfam says of the family: Transfer RNA (tRNA) molecules are approximately 80 nucleotides in length. Their secondary structure includes four short double-helical elements and three loops (D, anti-codon, and T loops). Lineage: Archaea; Methanobacteriati; Thermoplasmatota; Thermoplasmata. The record is from RNAcentral. RNAcentral also lists the same sequence under 3 other names.
GGGACCGUGGGGUAGCCUGGUAUCCUACCAGCUUGGGGUGUUGGUAACCUGAGUUCAAAUCUCAGCGGUCCCA